RNAcentral lists this long non-coding RNA (341 nucleotides) under Glycine max (soybean). Its description in RNAcentral is "long non-coding RNA (GMAX_LNC000036)". Lineage: Eukaryota; Viridiplantae; Streptophyta; Magnoliopsida; Fabales; Fabaceae. The record is from RNAcentral.
GCACCUUAAUCUUCUAUUGCACACACACCAUUUGUAGUAAUGCCGCAGAAGGCAAGUCACAAUUAACCGAGUAACAAACAUAGCAGCACUGAUAUGUCAUUUUCCACAUUAAGAUUGUAAUCCUGCUAACAUCAACUAGAGAUAGAAUGUGGUAAUAAAUAAAAUGCAUGGUGAUGUUGAUAAUUGCAGCACAAUCUUUGUCGGAAUUGCCAUUUAUAGCCUGUUACAAGCCAGAAUUUUAUACCAUUUUAGGACUAAAAAACACAAAGGAGAAAUACAUGAAGGUUAUCUCAUUUUCAGGUUCAAAGUUAAUCAAACGAAUUGGAUGAGAGGGAAUGAAA